AUCGCGUCGCCCCCCGAACGCCGCAAGGCGUCGUGGGGCGGAUACUGGCCUCCCGUGCGCCUCGAGCUCGUGGCUGGCCUAAAUGCGAGUCCACGUCGACGGACGUCGCGGCAAGUGGUGGUUGAAACUCAACUCUCUUUGUGUCGCGGCUACAGCCCGUCGCGCGUCCGGACUCCAGACCCUCUAAGCGCUUAGGCGCUCCGA
This 204-nucleotide unclassified non-coding RNA is filed under the name Solanum nigrum (black nightshade). Its description in RNAcentral is "partial internal transcribed spacer 2". Lineage: Eukaryota; Viridiplantae; Streptophyta; Magnoliopsida; Solanales; Solanaceae. The record is from RNAcentral.